This 240-nucleotide unclassified non-coding RNA is filed under the name soil metagenome. RNAcentral's name for it is "partial contains 5.8S ribosomal RNA, internal transcribed spacer 2, and large subunit ribosomal RNA". The record is from RNAcentral.
AACAAGGCGUACCUGCGGACCUGCGGAGGGAUCAUUACAGAGUUCGUGCCCUCGCGGGUAGAUCUCCCACCCUUGUGUAUUCCUUACAUUUUGUUGCUUUGGCAGGCCGUUGGUUCGCCAACCACCGGCUCUACGGGCUGGUGCGUGCCUGCCAGAGGACCCCCCAAACUCGGUUUGUUAGUGUCGUCUGAGUAACCAUAACAAUCGUUAAAACUUUCAGCAACGGAUCUCAGAUCGGAA